GCCUGGCUGGCUCAGUUGGUGGAGCAUGUGACUCUUGAUCUCAAGUUUAUGAGUUCAAGCCCCAUAUCAGGUG
RNAcentral lists this transfer RNA (73 nucleotides) under Vulpes vulpes (red fox). It matches the Rfam family "tRNA". From Rfam's summary of the family: Transfer RNA (tRNA) molecules are approximately 80 nucleotides in length. Their secondary structure includes four short double-helical elements and three loops (D, anti-codon, and T loops). Lineage: Eukaryota; Metazoa; Chordata; Mammalia; Carnivora; Canidae. The record is from Rfam by way of RNAcentral.